CCCAGGAACGAACACAGUGAUUGUGAUGACAUUGACAACAACGAGCAAGUCCUCCUAGACCUAGAGUGACCUCAAGCUGGGCCAAACAUGAUGUGGAAGAAGAAAUCAGUUGUCUCCAUCAGUCGGGUUUGUGCCAUGGCAGCUUUCUCCAGCUGUCCGGCAGAGGUCCAGUCCAUGCCAUGGAGAAAUUCAGCCCCCAACAAGGAGAUGGCAUGCCAGAGAUGGAUCCGCAACUUCUCCUCCAAUCAAUCAAUCAUUGCAAUGCCCUUUCUCUUUUCUCUCCUUCUGUACCACCAUGCUUACACAUAACUGAUCCUAGGUACUUAAACUCGUUAACCUCCUCCAUUUCUUCACCAUUCAAAAUUAUUUGGCAUUCUUUUUCACAUUCAAUGCCCACUCUAUAUGGGCAUACAAACUCUACAACCUCCCUUCUACUCCGCUCACAAACCAUCACUUUACUUUUGUUGACAUUUACUUUCAACUUUCUCCUUUUACAUAUACUAUCAAAAACAUUGACCAAAUUUUGUAGGUCACUUUCAUUUUCUGCAAUGAGCACCGUGUCAUCAGCAAAUAAGAUUGAAUUCAUCACCCACUUCCUUCCCUCCCUCAGCAUACAUUUUUACUUCAAUUUCCCCAACUUUGCCCUUCAUUUCUCAUAACACCAUCCAUAUAAAUAUUGAACAACCACGAUGACAUGACACACCCCUGCCUUAGCCCACUUUCAUCUCAAAAUGUUCACUUGUUUCUCCACUAAUUUUGACACAUGCAGAUGCAUCCUCAUAGAAAGACUUUAUUGCAUAAAGCAGUUUUCCUCCCACACCAUAUAUCUUUAAGACGUCCCACAAUGCCAGCCAAUCGACUCUGUCAUAAACUUUCUUUAGAAUAACUAGAUCCAUGAAGGCAGCAUAGUAUUUUUUCCUUUUGCUAAUAUUUUUUCUAAUAAAACACCAUCCUGAAGGAAAAUGUCUGAUCCACACAUCCUCUUCCCUUCCUGAAGUCUCCUUGUUCUUCACUGAUUUUCUCUUCUGUAAGUCUUUGCACAAUCUCAAUUAGGACUUUUCCAUAUACCUUUCCGGGUAGCCUACACUCAGCAGACUUAUACCCCUACAACUCCCACCUCCCCUCUCCUGCCCUUCCCCUUGUAAACUGGGACCAUGAUGGCUUUUGUCAAGUCUGCUGGGACCUCCCCCCCCCUUCCCAGGCCACUUCACAUAUCUUGACCAUUCAUAUAGUAACUUCAUCUCCACACUUCAACAUUUCUGCUGUGAUUCCUCUCAAUUCAUUCAUCAUCAUCAUCUCAUCGACGCCUGCUCUUAGGAGCUCCCACCAGGGGAUGGCCACGGCAGAAGUUUCCAUCUUUCUCUAUCCGGACACUCCUCCUUGCC
Eriocheir sinensis (Chinese mitten crab) is the source of this 1385-nucleotide long non-coding RNA. RefSeq lists it as uncharacterized. Lineage: Eukaryota; Metazoa; Arthropoda; Malacostraca; Decapoda; Varunidae. The transcript has 3 exons. The record is from RefSeq and is a predicted model, not a curated record.